This 46-nucleotide non-coding RNA is filed under the name Trichobilharzia regenti. The record is from RNAcentral. Lineage: Eukaryota; Metazoa; Platyhelminthes; Trematoda; Strigeidida; Schistosomatidae.
GUGCUGAUGAAGAGUCCCAAACUAGGACGAAACAGCUGUCCAGGAC